This 510-nucleotide long non-coding RNA is filed under the name Coffea arabica (coffee). RNAcentral describes it as "long non-coding RNA (CARA_LNC001007)". The record is from RNAcentral. Lineage: Eukaryota; Viridiplantae; Streptophyta; Magnoliopsida; Gentianales; Rubiaceae.
UUCAAUGCAGACAAGAUUCUCAGUACCUGAAAACUUGUGUGAAUCGUUCACUGGAGCAGUUGGCUCAGGCCAAAAUCCCAUGUCUUGGUUCUGAUACCGUGGAACUUGAUCCAUAAUCUCCUUAUGAGGCAAGGCAAUAUUGGCUCCUGGUUUAAUUGAUGAUUCUAACUUCCAGUCUUUCAAUGAUCCAGCAUCUGCAGUUAGUGUUUCUGAUUGGACUGAUACUUCAUAUACCUGCAUGAUCUCAUCCUGUUCGACCAUUCUAAGAUUCUCUGCACCAGGAAUAGACUGACAUUCGUUCUGAUAAUCAAAAUUUGGAUUCUGCUGAAUCACAAUUUUCUCUACUGUAGAUGAGCUGGUGUUGUUCCUUGGCAAAUUAACUGCAGGAAGCGUAGAAGAGGUAGGUUCCUUGUGAUAUACAUAUGAGGCACUAGACUGUGGCUUAGAAGGUAAAGUCUGGCUACAAACAAUAGGCUGCUGCAUAUCCCACUGGGGGACAAUUCCAUUACC